RNAcentral lists this ribosomal RNA (253 nucleotides) under uncultured bacterium. RNAcentral's name for it is "partial 16S ribosomal RNA". It matches the Rfam family "Bacterial small subunit ribosomal RNA", at positions 524 to 776 of the family's 1533-position model. The record is from RNAcentral.
UACGUAGGUGGCAAGCGUUGUCCGGAUUUACUGGGCGUAAAGAGCGCGCAGGCGGCCAAGUCAGUCGAAUGUGAAAGCCCCCGGCUUAACUGGGGAGGGUCAUUCGAUACUGCUCGGCUCGAAGACAGGAGAGGGAAGUGGAAUUCCCGGUGUAGUGGUGAAAUGCGUAGAUAUCGGGAGGAACACCAGUGGCGAAGGCGACUUUCUGGCCUGUUCUUGACGCUGAGGCGCGAAAGCUAGGGGAGCGAAUGGG